RNAcentral lists this ribosomal RNA (466 nucleotides) under uncultured bacterium. Its description in RNAcentral is "partial 16S ribosomal RNA". The record is from RNAcentral.
GACUACCCGGGUAUCUAAGCCUGUUUGCUCCCCACGCUUUCGCGCCUCAGUGUCAGUUGCGGUCCAGAAAGCUGCCUUCGCCAUUGGUUUUCCUCCCGAUAUCUAUGCAUUUCACCGCUCCACCGGGAAUUCUACUUUCCUCUCCCGCACUCUAGCCAUACAGUUUCAAAUGCAAUUUCAAAGUUGAGCCUUAAAAUUUCACAUCUGACUUAUACGACCACCUACGCGCCCUUUACACCCAGUAAUUCCGGAUAACGCUUGCCCCCUACGUAUUACCGCGGCUGCUGGCACGUAGUUAGCCGGGGCUUCUUCCACAGGUACAGUCAUCGUACCGUCUUGUUAUUCCAAUACUUAUUCUUCCCUGUCGAAAGGACUUUACACCCCUAAAGGCUUCAUCAUCCACGCGGCGUCGCUGCGUCAGGCUUUCGCCCAUUGCGCAAUAUUCCUCACUGCAGCCCCCCGUAGG